GUAGUACUCCCUUCGUCCCAAAAUUCUUUUCUUAUAUUUGUUUAGAUACAGAUGUAUCUAACACUAAAAUGUAACUAGAUACAUCCGUAUUUAGAAAAAUUUAGGACAAGAAUUUUGGGACGGAGGGAGUACAAA
This is a non-coding RNA of Triticum aestivum (bread wheat), 135 nucleotides long. NCBI's taxonomy places the organism in Eukaryota, Viridiplantae, Streptophyta, Magnoliopsida, Poales, Poaceae. The record is from Rfam.